RNAcentral lists this ribosomal RNA (494 nucleotides) under uncultured bacterium. RNAcentral's name for it is "partial 16S ribosomal RNA". It matches the Rfam family "Bacterial small subunit ribosomal RNA", at positions 28 to 507 of the family's 1533-position model. The record is from RNAcentral.
GACGAACGCUGGCGGCGUGCUUAACACAUGCAAGUCGAACGGAAAGGCCUGCUUUCCCUUGUGGAUUGCGGGUACUCGAGUGGCGAACGGGUGAGUAACACGUGAGUGAUCUGCCCCCAACUUGGGUAUAAGCCUGGGAAACUGGGUCUAAUUCCCGAUAGGACUGCAGGGUGGUGCCUGUGGUGGAAAACGAUUUUCUAGUGGUUGGGGAUGAGCUCGCGGCCUAUCAGCUUGUUGGUGGGGUAAUGGCCUACCAAGGCGGCGACGGGUAGCCGGCCUGGGAGAGUGGACGGCCACAUUGGGACUGAGAUACGGCCCAGACUCCUACGGGAGGCAGCAGUGGGGAAUAUUGCGCAAUGGGCGGAAGCCUGAUGCAGCGACGCCGCGUGGGGGAUGACGGCCUUCGGGUUGUAAACUCCUUUCGACCGCGAGGAAGCCACCUGGUUGGAAGGGUGGUGACGGUAGUGGUAGAAGAAGCACCGGCUAACUACGUG